Molecule: ribosomal RNA, 228 nt
Filed under: uncultured bacterium
Lineage: Bacteria
Description: partial 16S ribosomal RNA
Rfam family: Bacterial small subunit ribosomal RNA
Source: RNAcentral
CGGGUGAGUAACGCGUAGAAAUCUGCCCGGUAGUGGGGGAUAGCCCAGAGAAAUUUGGAUUAAUACCGCAUACGCCCUACGGGGGAAAGCAGGGGACCUUCGGGCCUUGCGCUAUCAGAUGAGUCUGCGUCGGAUUAGCUUGUUGGUGAGGUAAUGGCUCACCAAGGCGACGAUCCGUAGCUGGUCUGAGAGGAUGAUCAGCCACACUGGGACUGAGACACGGACCAG